AGGUGAAUUUCGCUCGCUGGCCUGCCGCUCACCUCCUGCUGUGCCGCCCGGUUCCUAAAAGGCUGAGCACAGGUACGGGUCCAUUGUCCAGGGGUUGGGGAACCCUGCUCUAAGUUCUUGGGACAGAAAUAACAAAAAAGAGGUUUUGCUGGGCCACAGCUGCUACUAAAUGUUACCCAUUCUGAACCAAAGAACAAGAGACAUCCCUGAUCCCACCCUCCUCAACCCAAGAAAAAAUACUGAGUCCUGAAAUUCCCAUUAUAAAUGGAAUCUUUUUGGUUAAGUUGGCAUCGCUCUUGGAAAGAGGGUCAGUCAAUCCAAGAGGACCAUCCCCAAACUUGGGCUUGCCAUUAACCUUUCCUAGGAUUCAUGUGUGCAGGGCCCAGCCAGCACGGUUUGCCGAGAGAAUGAGACACCACAGGUGAGCAUCACUGGUUCAAAACCUGGAGGGAGAAAGAGAAAGAUGCUGGGCAGCCUUGCCUGGAAAGGCCUGGAAAGCCCCAGCCCCAAGAGAGCACUUUAAGCAUGGAGGCAUCUGGAGACGGGUGGCUGCUCAACUCUGCAGAGGGCCAGCUCUUGUUUGCCUCUAAGUGAUUUCUGAUAUAUUUCCAAGCACAAAAUCAAACUUUCUUCUUUAAGAUUCUUAACGAUGGAAUUCCUUGGCGGUCCAGUGGUUAGGACUCCACACUUCCACUGCAGCGGCACAGGUUCCGUCUCUGGUCGGGGAACUAAGAUCCCAUAAGCCAUGUGGUGUGGCCAACCCCCCCCCAAAAAAAACCAAAAUCAAAACAAAACAAAACAAAUCAAAACAAAAAAGAAUCUUAACGAAUGUUCCUGCGUGUGUCCUAGAUUUUUCUAUGACAGGGAUGUUUUGGACAUCUCUUGUCCUUGCCCAGGCUGAGGCAGGAGAGGCAAGGUGCAGCACCCUACAGCCCCAGAAGGGCCUUGUCAGAGCACACUGUGCUGAGAGGUCACAGGUGGCAGAAACUGCUGGCCUCUCUUUCCACAGCCCACAGGAAACAUUUGCAUGUCUAACACUUUCUGCACAAAGCGGCCCAUGGUAGCAAUGCCCAGAUGUGGUUCCCAAGCUGUUCAUGGCACUGCUUUGUGAUUCAUCCUUUCUACACGGUCUCUGGGAGUCCAGUGGGGGCAUCCAAACCUUCCUGUUGUCUAUGUUCGGUAAGCAGAAUGUUAAAAUUUUAGAAAUUCCUUGCUUUCACUCCUUUUAGAGGUAAAAUAGUAAUUAGCAGAAGCAAGCGUUUGUUUCUUGGGGAUAUGUUUGUGAAAACAUAACAAAACUUUUUAUUUAUGACUUGCAUUAGUUAUUUCAAGCUUAAGAAAUGUGCCCUUUUGAAAAAGUUGGAAAAAUAACAUGUUAAAGAGGGAGAAAUUACUUACACCAUUGUUCCUGGGUUGAAUGGUGACACAGAUAAUUUAGUCAAAACAUAUCUUUAACCAUUUUUUGGGUGCGAUAAGUUUGUGAGUCUCUGAUUAGAGCUGGCUGAAUGUUUCCCCCAGAAUAAUGGGUUUUGAGCAUUAAUAAUAAACCUCUAACUUUCACAAGCAAUUGCUAUGACUUUAUUCAUAUGCAAUAAGGCCCUUCUAACAGAUUAUACAGUUAACUUUCUGCAGUUAAAAUGAAUGAAAUAUUAAUGGUUUUUGAGGAAUCCAAUGGAAUUAAGUUAAAACACAUUGACUUCUACCACUUUAUGACCAGUUAAAAUAUAUUUUUCAUUAUUUGAAAUCGUUUUCUCCCAACAUGUAGUAAUGGUGGGAGAAUUAAAUGACACCGAAAAUUCUGGAAAUGAGGAGAAAGGGACUAGAACCGCAAGCACCAGGCAGAUGAAGAGAGAGAAGAGUCGUUUAGCGAACCUGUAUCUUUUGGUUGGAGCAUUUAAUCCAUUCACGUUUAAGGGUACCUUAUUUGGUGAGUUCCAGUGUCUUCCUGUUGAUGAUUGUUCAGCAAUUAGUUGUGAUUCCGGUGCUCUCGCAAGAGGGAGUGAGUACACGUACUUCUACUCUGCCAUCUUGAACCGAUCUCUCAUAAUGGUUUUAAUUAAGUAAAAUUGGAAGUUAAAAAAAAUAAACAAAGAUAAUCAAGCAACAUUUGUCCUUUACGCAACAAUGUUCUGCAAAAACCACUGUUGAUUUCAUUAAUUUACAUGUCACAAAACAAUUAGCUUUGUUGACCCAUCUCUCUCAGAGUGUGGGUGCAUCUGAAUUUUUUCCUAAUUAUGUUUAUAAGGAGUGUCGACUAUAAAGGGUGUUGAGUAGUUCAAAUACACGAUUAGUAUUGUAAUUACUACAACUGGGGGUAAAAAAUGCCAUCCCCUGUUCAUUUUGUCCCACCGUUAACAUGUAAAUUGUGGAGUGGGAUGUGGAGGGUCAUUUGGGGAGGGGGAAUAAAGUUAGGUCCCCAAAUCAGAGCAGCCUGCCGCACAGAGAGCUUGACUCCACACUCGUGUCCAUAGUCCUUUGCCUCAAAGUCUGAUCGAUAAGAACAUGAGGAACCAGGAACCCAAGCCCAAAUAAGCUUCCAAAUGGGAAUUCUUACAACGCUUUUGAAGGAUGUAUGGCUGAGGUGAUUUGUUACAGUCUUAAUUCCAAAGCUUUAUUCAAGUCUUGCCAGGCUCUCCUGAGCUCAGAAGCCAUCAUGGGCUGAAGAAUGAAACUCUGUCGUGGCAGGAGGAGGGGGUGAUGAAUCUUUCUUUUUUUUUUUUUUAAUUUAUUUUUUAUAUAUAUUUUUUAAAUUAAUCUUUUUAAAAAAAUAAUUAUUUAUUUUUGGCUGCGUUGGGUCUUCGUUGCUGCACGCGGGCUUUCUCUAGUUGAGAUGAGCGGGGGCUAUGCUUCGUUGCGGUGCGCGGCCUUCUCAUUGUUUCUUGUUGCGGAGCACAGACUCUAGGUGCACAGGCUUCAGUAGUUGUGGCACAUGGGCUUAGUUGCUCUGCGGCAUGUGGUAUCUUUCUGGACCAGGGCUUGAAUGUGGGUCCCCUGCAUUGGCAGGCAGAUUGUUAACCACUGCGCCACGAGGGAAGUCCCGAUCUUUCUUUUUGAUUCAAAGAAGAAGAAAAAGUAAAACAAAACCCCAAGUCCCAUUGUACCAUUUAAAUGGAAGUUUUUGCCAACUACAAAAAGAUGUUUGAGGGAUAAUAAAGGAAACUGAAUAUGGACUAGCUCUCAGAUACUAUCAGAGAAUUAGUAAUAUUUUUAGGAGAGAGAAUAGCCUUGUAGUCAUGAAGGGAAAUGUGCUUACUUUUAGGAGAUAGGUGCUGAAGGGGUAAGUUAUGAUAUCGAUAACUUAAUUUCAACAUAUAUUGAAAAUACACAUACACACAGAGAUAAAACAAAUAUGGUACAUAUUAGCAAUAGUGAAAUUUCGAUACUGGGUAUAUGGGCAGUCAUUGAACAAGUCAUUAGAGGUCUGUGUAUCAGUUGGAAAUGUUUCUGGCUGCAAGCAAAAGAAAACUCAACUGGCAAGGUCUGAAUCUCAAAGAACCUUCAUUACUUACUAAACAAGAAGUGUACAAGUUAUCCAGUCAGGGUUGUUUCAGCAAUUGAGUGAUGCCUUCAAGGCCCCGGCGGUUCUUCCCAUCUGCCUUGUCGCCCUCAGCCCACUGGCUUCUGACAGUGUCAGUUUAUGACUGCGAGGCCGCUGCUACAGCUCUAGGCAUCACAGCCACAGUCAAAGGCAAAGCGAUGGGUGAGGAAGAGCAAAAGCAAACUCUCCUCUUGCACUUGAUUCUUUUAUCAGAAAGCAAAAUCUUGGGGUUGGGGGGAGGGAUAAAUUUGGAAUUUGAAAUAAACAGAUACACACUACUAAAUAGAAGGUAGAUAAACAGCAAGGACCUACUGAAUAGCACAGGGAACUAUAUUCAGUAUCUUAUAAUAAGCUAUAAUGGAAAAGAAUCUGAAAAAGAAUAUAUAUAUACAUACAUAUAUAUAUAUAUGUAUAUAUAUAUAUGUAGCUGAAUCAGUUUGCUGUAUACCUGAAAUAUUGUAAAUCAACUAUACUUCAAAAAAAAAAAACCCACAAAGAGAUAUCAUCUCACACCUGUUAGUAUGUGUAUAAUUAAAAAAAAAAAUAGAUGUUGGCAAAAAAAGAAAAAGAAAGCAAAAUCUUUCCCAGAAGCCCCCAGGAGACUUCUCCUUCCACCUCAGUGGCUAGAACAGUCAGAGGCCAAUCCUAGCUACAGGGGGUCUGGGAAAUGCCAUCACAAUAAGUGACUUACAUCAGUUGUGAUUCAUCCCCUGGGGCUAGGGAUGCACUGUCUCCCAGAGCAAGAUUGACGUUCUGUUAACAGAAAAAGGGGAAAUGGCAGCUAUUUCCCAUGUGUUAAACAUAUGCUCUUUUUCUCUAGAGAGGAUAUGGUUCUGCUUUACUAGGUAACAGAAAUGAUUUUAAAUGAAAGUAGAACCAAAAUUCAUUCUUCACUAUAUCCUGUUGCUGUUUAACAGGAAAGUAAAUGGUGCCCAAAAGAGACUUUAGCUUUCUUGUCUUCCUGGACAGGGUCUCUUUAGUCCAGUGAAAUAGAAACUCUAACCAGCCUUGAAAUCUAUCUUUUGUUUCACUUUCAAGUUUUAUAAUACAUUUCAAUAUACAGUUUGCUUUUAAAGCUUGUCCUCAUUGUGAUGGACAUUAGGCAGCAGGAUAGAAUAUAUACUACCGCUCAUCCUAUUUUUAGCCACAGUUGAUCUAGUGUCCUCUCUUUGCAAGGAUUUGUGAUAGGUGAGUUACAUGUUCUCUCAUUUGUGUAAGAAGGAUGUGCUUGCCUAUUGCAAAAAGCCCCAAUUCAGUCUGAGUCAUCAGACUUAAUAAAGAGAAAACCAGAAGCUUUCAGCAAUUGUUCUAACUUCUACUUUCUCCCCAACCUGUGUGAGGCCAAUCUAAGAUAAUCUCGACAUCUGGGCUGUUUAAAUGGAAGUUCUGAUCAGAGCAAGUAAUAGUCCUAACUAGAGUUCCCUCCUGUCCUCUUCCCUAGCCCUUGGCCCCAAAGUAGGCUUUCUUUUAGAAAGAAUGCUGCACACUCAUUGUAGAUGGAUUAAAAUGAAUCCCCAGACCAAUAAUAGCCGCCUAACCAUCACUGGGAGCCGUAGUCAUGUGUCCUUGGGAGGCAGACAUAGCCUUGCCUGGCCUGGGCCAGAAGGUCUUUGCGUGUCCGGAUGUCCCUCAAGACCACAAUGGCACAUUUGUCUGAUGAUUUAGCAUUUGGUGUUAAUGGCUGGCAUUGUGCUCAGGUAUAUCAUGGCUGGCUGUCCCCUGUUUCUGGGUACCUUCUGGUUGUGGCUGACUGUGACACUGACUGCUACAUCAGGGCUCUGUGGCAGGGCUGGCUUGGAGCAGGCCCAAGAGCCCCCUUUUCUCUACUAUGUCAACCAGCACCAACCCCAUCCCCCCACCCAGUGUCCCUGACUCAAGUAUUUUAUUGGGGCUACACUGUAGCCUAUGGCUUGCCUGUCUCCCUGCGGUGACCCCUGGGAGACAUCCCAUUGCUGAUAGAAGCCACGUGACUAUUCUACCUCCAAACUUAGAUUUAACGCUUAGGAUAAAUAUUUCAGUGAUUCUCUCCAGUGUUUUUUUGCAUUCUUAUUUAUUUAUUUUUGGCUGCACUGCAUCUUCAUUGCUGUGCACAGGCUUUCUCUAGUUGUGGCGAGCAGGGGCUACUCUUGGUUGUGGUGUGCGAGCUUCUCACCGCAGUGGCUUCUCUUGUUGUGGAGCUCUAAGUGCACAGGCUUCAGUAGUUGCAGCAUGCGGGCUCAGUAAUUGUGGCUCGCGGGCUCUAGAGCGCAGGCUUAGUAGUUGUGGCACACGGGCUUAGCUGCUCCGUGGCAUGUGGGAUCUUCCUGGACCAGGGAUUGAACCUGGGUCCCCUAAAUUGGCAGGUGGAUUCUUAACCACCGUGCCACCAGGGAAGUCUGAAACAUUUCUCUUUAACUUAAAUAUAGUAAGGGCACAUCACUUAAAAAAAAAAAAAGGAUCAAUGUCCUGGAGGAUGGGAGAGAGAGGUGUGGUGAGGAGUGGCUUUGCUGGGCGCCCAUAGAAACAGGAGGUAAAGGUGGAGCCACAGGUGUGGGCAGGUGGGAAGGUGUAAUGGUGGGAAGUGAAGGAAGUCCUCUUCCACUGCUUUUAUAUCUUUAGUGGCUUAGCAAACAGGCUAUCAGCGCAGAGUGAGGGUGGGAAAUGUUCCAAGAGAGAAGAGAAAUCAGGAAAGUAGGAAAGUAAAUGGAUGAGAAAAACACAGUGUGAGGGUGGGCAGCCUAAAGCCCCGCUUAUGUUUAGUGAUAACGUAUUUGAAGGGAGAUCAGCCAAUGGCGAGUAAUGUACCCCCGGCCAGAACCUCUCCUCUCACUGGGCCAGAUGGAAGAUCGAAUAACAAUCCAGAGAAUUCCUGAUGUGAGGGGCCAGCUCGCAACAAAUUCUUGCUAGUAGCUGGGGGCCAGCAGGGCCGUCCUAGAGCAGACUGGGCUACCAGCCAAAGACCCUGCUCUUCAGUGCAGUAACCGUCACUGGAAGAUUUGUCCAUUGCUGGGCUGUGAUGUGGAUAGCAAAGUGCUGAUGCCUCAGGCAUUGCUGAGGUGGUGAAGAGUGGAGGUGCACCUGGGGAAAGGCCACAGGGUUGGUGAUAUCUGCACAUGUGAAGGACCCAAGGCACUAGUUUUCCAGCACUGAGCUGCGUGGCUGGGUGGUGCUCCUGUGUCAGGAGAUGGUAUGACCAACUUUGACAGCCUUCCUCAGUGCCUUCUGUUGCCCUUUGGGUUCCAGAAAGCCUCCUAAGUGACCUGCCAUAGUUCCUCCAUGACUGGCUUGUGGAGUGACUGGGUGAUACCCACCCCCGUCUAACAGGAAACUCAUCACACUAGGUUGUGAGUCAUUGUCUGUUGUUUGUUAUCCCUGGAUAACAGAAGAGUGAGAACCCUAACUUUUUUUUACCACUUUAUCUCUAGUGCCUGGCAGAAUACCUGAAAGACAGUAGAUGCUCAUUAAGUUUUGAAUGUGUGAAUACAUAAAAGAGGGCUGGCAGGAAGGAGGGAUGGAACGGAGGGAGGGAGGAAGGGAGGAAGGAAGGAAGGACGGAAGGAAGGAAGCAAGGAAUUCUUGUUACUAUAUCAGGGCUAUUCUGGAGGAGGGUUGUUUAAAUUGGUGGUAGCCUGUAUAGAAGUUAUAGCAAUGCAGGUAGGUGGAGGGUGGUGGGAGCUGAUGAAAAGGGCUUUAGCAGGGCUCUCUAAAAUGAGGAAGACACACUGGAGGUUGCAGCGAGAGACCAGAAAGACUGGGACGUCAGUGGCUGGCACAGAUGGGGAUCAGGUGCUAUUUUGGUGAGGUUGUCAGAAAGGUGAGAAUAAAGAAUGAUGGUCAAGAUGGGUAGGAGGGAAGCAGGAGAGGGUUCCUGGGUGAAGAGCUGAGACAGACCCGCAGCUCAGCAGGUGUAGUGGGUGUGUUUGAAAGGCCCCUGCAGAGAUGAGGCCCCUGCAGCUGGGCAUCCACAGAGGAGCCCAGUGGCUUUAAUGAUCGGCCUCUCUUUCCUAUUCUUUCUGGAAAGAAGGGAUCUCCCCUGCACUUGCUUCAUCCUCCCCACUUCCUACUCUCUCUGACUUGGUACUUUACACCCCAGCCUCUGGAUUUUCUUGUUUGCAGUUUGCUCUCUCUUUUCUCCAGACCUUCGAACCCAUGGUUCUCCUGACCUAGAAAGCUAGCUCCACCCUCAAACCUCCUUCCUAGUGACUCCCUCUUGGCCCUCAGAUUUUGCUGAGGGAUAACGUCCCCUUGAAGUACUUGCUCUGCCUUCCCAGGUUGAGUGGCUGCCAUUUCUAUGUUCUUCAUCACACUCUGGGCUACUUCCUUUAAAGCACAUAUCUCAGUGCAAUGGCUUGCUUACUUCUCUGACUCCAUCUCUAGAUACGAGAAAAGGGAUAUGGUUAAAUAUUUCCCUAGUGGUCACUCAAUGGCAAAUAAAUCAAAGAAAACAAAGCAGAAGCCCUGAGAAUCCUCUCACUUGUUGAACAAAACCAUGUGCUUUUCUGUUGCCUGUGUUUUUAUUUCGCACCAGGCUAGUGUCUGAAAGCAAACUCAUGCCAAACAGGAUUUCACUUUCUCUGAGUUAACAGGCAAAAUUUGCUUUAAAGAAAUAUAAACACAUAUUUCCAAAUGAUAAACAUUAUGAAAUAGUAAAAAAAUAUACAUAUAUAUAUAAUUUUUUUUUUUUUUUACUAUUUCAUAAUGUUUAUCAUUUGGAAAUAUGUGUUUUAGGAGCAACUUUGACCUACCUCAUCAGUCCAAGAUUUUUGAUUUAUGUAAGCUGUGCCUUAUCAAUACGGGUAAGAUGAAUCAAAAUGAAAUUAAUAUAUUUUGAAUGGUUAAGAGAACUGUAAUAGACAAUUAGAAUGUCUCGAAAUAACUGAUGCAAAAUGUGUGUAUAUUUUUGUUAAAAAAUGUUUUGAAUUACAAACUCUAGCACAAAUAGAGGAAAGUGCAUCAUGUAUAUAUAUACAUAUAUAUAUGGAACAAUUAUAACAAACACUUAUAAAGUGAAUACAUGAAACCACCACUCAAGUCAAAAGCUAGGAUGUAGCCAGCACCCAAGAAGUCCCUCAUAGGGUCCUUCUCAAUUAUACCCCUUCCUCACAAAGGGAAGUAGCCAGGAGCCCCACUUUUCUGGCAUUUACUUCCUUGCU
Molecule: long non-coding RNA, 8670 nt
Organism: Orcinus orca (killer whale)
Lineage: Eukaryota; Metazoa; Chordata; Mammalia; Artiodactyla; Delphinidae
Exons: 3
Source: RefSeq, a predicted model, not a curated record